RNAcentral lists this long non-coding RNA (377 nucleotides) under Chinchilla lanigera (long-tailed chinchilla). RNAcentral describes it as "lncRNA (ENSCLAG00000023117.1)". Lineage: Eukaryota; Metazoa; Chordata; Mammalia; Rodentia; Chinchillidae. The record is from RNAcentral.
AUGAGUACUUUAUAUUUUCGUUGUUUUUGUUGACAAGAAUUCUGAAUGAAAACCUGCCUCAGCCAGGGUAACUGAAUAUCUGGAGCGCACUUCUAAUUUCCAAAUCAGACCCACUUCAAGCAAUCCCUCUGAAUUCCUUGCAGUUUCACCAUGGGCAUCCUAGAAGAGAUUAUCUUCUCUUGUACACUUGUGUGAAGAUAGAGAAGUGAUGAGCAGCAGGGAAAGACUCUGAAAUUUGGUGUCCAGACAUGGAAUAAAGCAAUGUCAGGAAGAGUCAAAGGUGGGUCCCUGGCACUCAGGAAGGAUCUAAAGUGAGAAUUGAAGUCUAUGGGGAGAUCAGAGAGAGAUUUCAAUGAAGAAGAAGGAGGUGGCAUGCA